GCUGUGAUGGCCGAGAGGUUAAGGCGUUGGACUCGAAAUCCAAUGGGGUUUCCCCGCGCAGGUUCGAAUCCUGAUCACAGCG
This 82-nucleotide transfer RNA is filed under the name Gadus morhua (Atlantic cod). RNAcentral describes it as "tRNA-Ser (CGA) (tRNA-Ser-CGA-4-1)". It matches the Rfam family "tRNA". From Rfam's summary of the family: Transfer RNA (tRNA) molecules are approximately 80 nucleotides in length. Their secondary structure includes four short double-helical elements and three loops (D, anti-codon, and T loops). The record is from Rfam by way of RNAcentral. Lineage: Eukaryota; Metazoa; Chordata; Actinopteri; Gadiformes; Gadidae.